CCGAGUUUAUUUUUAUCAUUUCCUGCGUUUAUCGGGUGUUGCUUGCAAUAAAUUUUUGAAACAACGUAGAUCUAGCAGAAAAACGAAGAAGAUAUUUUCACAGUGUGUAGCAAUUAUAGAAUUAUCUCUACCUAAUCUAACGAAUUAAAACUCAUCCAAAUGAAGAUUAUACGGUCAAAAAUAUACGGUUCAUCUUGAGAAAAAGAAGAUGAUUCAUGCAGAGCUGUUCUAUUCACGGUGUAAUCAAAAGCUUGUCAACCGAACUUGCCUGUUCAUCGAGUUCAAUUUACAUCGUACGUGUCCAUAUGUACGGAGCAAAGCAGAAAAUAGAGGAUUGGACGAGAUAUAUUAAAGAAUGAUCUUUCGCCCAGUUGUGUCAUCUGUCCUUAGACAUGCUGUACAGAGGGAAAGCCCACAGCAUUAGAAGCUUUUCGGAGGAUCGUGGUGAUUCGCGGUCGCACAGACAUUAAAAUGUAAAGUAAGCCUCGGUGGCGAGAAACGAGCUUCGCCCUGCACAGCACCUGCAGAUAACGACGCCCUAUCACGGAGCCAGAAAAACUUAUCGACCUCGGAUGCUGCGACGUCCUGUGUGCUUAACCCGUUUCGGAAUUAUACAAAUUGCGAGCACAUUAGCAUACGAACCGAUGGAGACGACGCCACGCAAUGUGGUGAACUGUACCGGAGACGUGGAAUAAAACUAAAAAGCCGAACGAUAGAUCUCAGAAAAUGAAUAUUUGUACUCUAUGGUUUACGUCGCUGGCGACAAGAAAUGGCGAGCGCGAUGUUAGAUGAAAAUGUAUGUUAAAAUUUUUAGGAUUCAUGGUAACGCGGUACGAAGGGAAAAAAGAACAGAGAGAAACGAGCGGACGACGAAAAUGAUGGUUGCCGUUGUAAAAAGGCUUGGAAAAGAUAUGACUACAUGCAUGAGGAUAUUUAAAGAAGAAGUAAGUAAAUCUGAAAAAUUAUUAAGGUAUUAUUGAAAUUAUUAUCGAAGAACUUUUAUCAGACCAGGAUCCUCUCGCAUAAAAAUUUGUCAACUAAUAAUAUCGAUGAAUCUCACUGAAUCACAGGUUACAGACUAUUCUUUCAUAGGUUUACAUCGAAGAGAAUAAUCAGGUGAUUUGUCAUUUGUAAGAUUCGUUCGUAGAAUUUGUAUUUUUCUAAGUACUG
Bombus pascuorum is the source of this 1170-nucleotide long non-coding RNA. RefSeq lists it as uncharacterized. Lineage: Eukaryota; Metazoa; Arthropoda; Insecta; Hymenoptera; Apidae. The record is from RefSeq and is a predicted model, not a curated record. The transcript is spliced from 3 exons.